RNAcentral lists this ribosomal RNA (200 nucleotides) under uncultured eukaryote. Its description in RNAcentral is "partial 18S ribosomal RNA". It matches the Rfam family "Eukaryotic small subunit ribosomal RNA", at positions 588 to 924 of the family's 1831-position model. The record is from RNAcentral.
GCUCCAAAAGCGUAUAUUGAAGUUGUUGCGGUUAAAAAGCUCGUCGUUGGAUUUCUGCUGAGGCACGCCUUGAAUACAUUAGCAUGGAAUAAUAAGAUAGGACCUCGGUUCUAUUUUGUUUGGUUUCUAGAGCUGAAGUAAUGCUUGAUAGGGAUAGUUUGGGGCAUUCGUAUUUAAUUGUCAGAUGUGAAAUUCUUGGA